GACGAACGCUGGCGGCGUGCUUAACACAUGCAAGUCGAACGGAAAGGCCCUGCUAUUGUGGUGUGCUCGAGUGGCGAACGGGUGAGUAACACGUGAGUAACCUGCCCUUGACUUUGGGAUAACUUCAGGAAACUGGGGCUAAUACCGGAUAGGAGCUCCUGCUGCAUAGUGGGGGUUGGAAAGUUUCGGCGGUGGGGGAUGGACUCGCGGCUUAUCAGCUUGGUGGUGGGGUAGUGGCUUACCAAGGCUUUGACGGGUAGCCGGCCUGAGAGGGUGACCGGCCACAUUGGGACUGAGAUACGGCCCAGACUCCUACGGGAGGCAGCAGUGGGGAAUAUUGCACAAUGGGCGGAAGCCUGAUGCAGCAACGCCGCGUGCGGGAUGACGGCCUUCGGGUUGGAAACCGCUUUCGCCUGUGACGAAGCGUGAGUGACGGUAAUUGGUAAAGAAGCACCGGCUAACUACGUG
RNAcentral lists this ribosomal RNA (468 nucleotides) under uncultured bacterium. Its description in RNAcentral is "partial 16S ribosomal RNA". It matches the Rfam family "Bacterial small subunit ribosomal RNA", at positions 28 to 507 of the family's 1533-position model. The record is from RNAcentral.